CUUCUGUCUGAGCAUCCUACAGUGUUUUGUUUGUGCUUAUCCCCAAUGCAUGUAUGGCUACCAAGGAGUUACCUUCUCAAGAAGACAGCAUGGUGGGCAGGAUCAGGGUCUUGGCACUGCUGCUGUACAGGGAGACCCUGGGAUGGCAAUAGCUCCCAUAUUGAGCUGAGGCAAUAGAUCGUGUGAGUGCGAAAUAAACUAGCUAAGGUGAAAGGCUGUUCUGUAGUGGUUCAAGAUCAAUGGUUUUGCAAUAAUACACAUUGAAAAGGAUGAAAAGUGCUCAUGUAAUCAUUAGCAUGGCUCAGCUCAUAAGAACAAAAGGACAAACACAUGUAUACAUACUCUUAGAUAGCAUGCUAUAGGCAACCUAAAUAAAAACCUUCCACGAAAACUCCAAUACACACUGCCACUAUGAGUCCAGAACAGGUUUAUCUUCAUAGAAGAGCUGGUAUCUCAGGUUUUGUAUGGGACAAAUGUAUGAAGCAGCUAGUUUUUCCUAUUGUAUUCACUUUAAGUAGUGCUUUUUGUCCGCAGUUCUAAUACUGCCCUUCCCAAGCCCCAGUUAGAUGUGAUGAACUUUUCAGAAGUUUGCCUAGAUGGUCACUCACCUCUUUAAGGUUACCCAAACUCUUCCAGGUUGUCUAGGUGACUGCAAAGCUCUAUUACUUAUUAGCAUGGCAGCAGCUGGCUGAGAUGAAAAUCCCUUUAUUAGUCCUGUCAUCUUGCUCAGUGAUGGAUACAAUCACUACUACAUUACUCUAGCAGGCAGACAGUUGUGUCCUUCCUCCAUGUCAGUGCCAGGCCAAUGUUCAGCUGACAGUCCUUUACAGUCUCAUACUAUGGAUGUGAGAGAGGUGCCAGUUAAAAGCAGGCUGCCUUUUGAAUGUGCACAUGGAAGUAUAAAAUGCUGCCUUUAGUUGUUUUGGGUUUUUUUUCUCUAAACACAAAAGUUAAUGUCAAAUUAACAUGAAGCACACUAUGAAGACUAACACUGGUAAUUGUCAGUGAAAGGAUUUGCAUGUCUUUUCUUUCAGGUGUAAUGUAGUCUUUCGUUCUGAAUCAAAUGUGAGGCUUAAUAUGCAGCUUGUUUUGUAAUAUGUAAUUGCUGUGUGGACUGUUUACAAUGCUUAUAAUUUUGUUGGCACAGCAAAUUAUAGGAGUGAUUAAGUCUGGAGCUAUGUGCUGCCUGGAGAAAGGAAUUCAAGCACAGUGGCUGCCAAAACAGGGUGAUCUGCAAGAUCACAGCUGAAGGAUGGAUCUGAGUAGAAGUAAAAGCUGGCCUCCAACUGAGUCCCAUAUGAAACAUAAGAAUGAAGCAAUGUGCAUACACAAGGUACCAGAUUUGCCAAAGCAUUAGCCUCAAAGAAUUGAUUAAAUUAGUCACAGACUAUUCUGGUGAUGUGAGAACAGCAGGACUGGGCAUGUGAUUGAUGAAACAGCUAUUACAGGGAAUUAGCAUUUGUGGUGUUUGAAUUCAAAGACAGCCUGCCUUGGAAAUCAGUUUGUUUGUUAAUUUGCUCCUAUUUCAGGGAAAGUAAAUCUAUUACUCAGGAGAUGUUCUUUAAAACCUUAUCCUUUGGUGUUCCCGAGACAGGUUUCUCAAACCACAGGAAGGAUGGGAGAGAGAAAACAGGCUCCUAAUCCCAGUGAGUCCCAGAGAAAGAGUAAGGGAGUAACUCACUCUACUGGGAGAAGGUACAGGCAAAAAUGCUGCUGUUGCUGGCAGUGUGUUUGAUGGGUGCAGGAGAGAAAAGCUCUCUUACUCUGUCAUCAAGAAGAACAAAGAAAUUACAUCAUAUCUUUGUGUACAGAGGAUGUUGAUGGAGUGUGCGGUUUUGAAUCUGCCACUGUAAGGAGCUUACAAAAAACCCUGCCUGUAAGACCUUCCUACUAAUAAGAUUAUAUUUUUCGUAUUUAGGGGUUACUUUCUUCAAAUGAAAGCUUUCACUGUAGAAAUAAGCAAAGAACAGCCAUCUGCUUUCAGUCAGGCUGAUUUGCUGUGUGAGAAACAAAACAGGCAGAAAAAGCUUGGAUGCCAAGAGAGCAUGGUCCAUUCCUGCUGCCCAUGGGUUCCUGUUGUAGAAGGCCCUGUCCAAAAGCACACUGGCUAUGCUGCAGGAGGGAGGUUCCUUCUCCACUUGUCAGUGCAAGUUCUUAAGCCAAACAUAACCUGCAGCAGACGCCACUGGUGUGAGCACCCACUUGUAGCUUCAAUCUCUCCAGGUUUGGUGUUUACUAGUAAUUUUUCAGGUCUUGGCUAUCAGCAGAGAUGGAGGGAGUGGGCUGAGUGAUUUACAUUUCGAUUUGGUCAGUCUUUUCAAAACCUAACCUUUGAACAAGGCAGUAUGAGGGAUUGUGCUUAGUCCAAUUUACAGACUCUCAAUUUGUUAAACAUCCAAAAUCCCCUCAAAUUAUAGCAGCAAUGUGGGUUUAAAACAGGUGGAUUGUUAGCUGGAUUGCAUUUAAUGGAAAGCACUGCAGUGUUCCAGCUUAUCCAGGCGAACUCAUUAGUGGUGCACUGAGCUGAAAUAUUCUUCAACCUUCUUUCAUCAAUACUUUGUAAGUAUACAAUUCAGCAGGUUACAACUGGAACAUGACCCUAGAAAGCUUCCUUUCUGCUUCCUUUUUUCCAUGCAAAAGAAAUUCUUCUUGGGGAGAGUGCUAUUAUUUAAUCCUCACUUUGGUCUACAUGUUCAACAUCAGGCCUAUAAACGUGCAUACAGAUGCUUAUGGACGCAUGCAUGGUUUUGCACUGGCCAAACAUCUUGUAAAACAGUUCAAGAGGAUGCAGGAGGGUCCUUGUCAUCCUUUGCCAGCUCUGUGGCAGAUCUCCUGUCCUUCACAGAGGUCUUGCCGUGCUCUUACACAUGCAACUGUAUGUAAUGCUAAGCAGGUGGGACCUUCUUCCAUUUCUCAAGGCAUAUCAUGCUUUUAAGCUGUAAUCUUUUUUGUUUCACAAAAAAAAAAAAAAAAAAAGAAAGAAAAAACCAAAACCAACACACGUUUCGUGCCUGAUGGGUUUUUCUUCAACAGAACUGAAACAGGCAUUCCAGCUCUGACUUCUAAAAACCCGAAGGAGCUUUAUGUCAAAACUAUGAAUUCUCUUUAAAAAAGUGUUCACAGUGGAAAAUGGAAAUUAUCCUUUUGUUGGCUGUGGCAGCUAAAAAGCCAUGUGUGGAGAAAGCCAAAGAUUCUCCUUAAAAAUAUGAAAUAGAAAUUCCUCCAAAGUGAUGAGAAACCAGUGAAUGGCUUGGGAAAGACAGAUUCCUCACAUACCAUCAUAGCUUGGUAUUUGACCUACUCCUGUGGAGUCUUCUAGGUCUGGCGGGGGGGGACCAACUGAGUCCUUAAUACUUAUUAAGAGUAGUAGAUUGACGCUACUUAAGGAAGAUCACGUUUUAAGAGAGAAGAACUCACAGAGUUUUUUGGCUAGUCAAAACACUCCAUCAGUUUACAAACAUAUGUUUUGUUUCUAGUUGUCAAGAAACAGAAUAAAAUUUAGCAUUGUAUUAACUAAAACAUUGAAGAACGUGCUCUAGAAAAACUAUUUUAUCCCUUAUUCCUUGCUCCAGGUAGCCAUGACAGAGUAGAGAUAAGGGAGAUUGCUGAACUUCCAGACUUGCAUUUGUUGCUGCACUGUGUGAAACUGAAGCACUGAUUCCCCGUGUCAUGAUGGAUGACAGUAUCUUGACAAAGAUCAAUUGAGAAGCAAACCCAUUGCUUAGGUAAAGUGUAAACCUUAUGAUAUAUGCCACAGCCUGACAAGCUCCUGCUUUAUCUCCUUCCUACAUAUACUGUGUAUUUUCUACAAUAUUUAAAUAAAAAACAAGGUAGGCAGAGAUAAGACAUCUCAUACAGGCAAGUGUGUAUCACCAGCCACAAGGUGUGUUAC
Molecule: long non-coding RNA, 3892 nt
Organism: Neopsephotus bourkii (Bourke's parrot)
Lineage: Eukaryota; Metazoa; Chordata; Aves; Psittaciformes; Psittacidae
Exons: 3
Source: RefSeq, a predicted model, not a curated record